This 31-nucleotide non-coding RNA is filed under the name Rattus norvegicus (Norway rat). The record is from RNAcentral. Lineage: Eukaryota; Metazoa; Chordata; Mammalia; Rodentia; Muridae.
UAAGAGUGAAACAUAAUGUAUGUAAUAAAGA